RNAcentral lists this ribosomal RNA (426 nucleotides) under uncultured bacterium. RNAcentral's name for it is "bacterial SSU rRNA". It matches the Rfam family "Bacterial small subunit ribosomal RNA", at positions 356 to 773 of the family's 1533-position model. The record is from RNAcentral.
GGGGAAUAUUGGACAAUGGGGGGAACCCUGAUCCAGCCAUGCCGCGUGUGUGAAGAAGGCCUUAUGGUUGUAAAGCACUUUAAGCGAGGAGGAGGCUACUGAGACUAAUACUCUUGGAUAGUGGACGUUACUCGCAGAAUAAGCACCGGCUAACUCUGUGCCAGCAGCCGCGGUAAUACAGAGGGUGCGAGCGUUAAUCGGAUUUACUGGGCGUAAAGCGUGCGUAGGCGGCUUUUUAAGUCGGAUGUGAAAUCCCCGAGCUUAACUUGGGAAUUGCAUUCGAUACUGGGAAGCUAGAGUAUGGGAGAGGAUGGUAGAAUUCCAGGUGUAGCGGUGAAAUGCGUAGAGAUCUGGAGGAAUAUCGAUGGCGAAGGCAGCCAUCUGGCCUAAUACUGACGCUGAGGUACGAAAGCAUGGGGAGCAAAC